GGGAAAAUUGAAGAACCACAUGAAAAAGUACGAAACUGGACCACUAUUUUAUAGUAUACACAAGAAUCAACUAAAAAUGGAU
Long non-coding RNA from Mustela erminea (ermine), 82 nucleotides. RefSeq lists it as uncharacterized. NCBI's taxonomy places the organism in Eukaryota, Metazoa, Chordata, Mammalia, Carnivora, Mustelidae. The transcript is spliced from 3 exons. The record is from RefSeq and is a predicted model, not a curated record.